AACGCGAAGAACCUUACCCAGGCUUGACUUCCUUGGAAUUUCUCCGAAAGGAGAGAGUGCUUUAUUGAACCAAGUGACAGGUGCUGCAUGGCCGUCGUCAGCUCGUGUCGUGAGAUGUUUGGUUAAGUCCAUCAACGAGCGCAACCCUUAUGUUUAGUUGGAUUUUUCUAAACAGACCGCCCUGGCAACAGGGAGGAAGGAGGGGAUGAUGUCAGGUCAGUAUUGCCCUUACGCCUGGGGCUACAAACACGCUACAAUGGCCGGUACAAAGGGCUGCCAAGUCGCGAGACGGAGCAAAUCCCAUCAAAGCCGGUCCCAGUUCGGAUUGCAGGCUGAAACUCGCCUGCAUGAAGUCGGAAUCGCUAGUAAUGGUAGGUCAGCUAUACUACCGUGAAUACGUUCCCGGGCCUUGUACACACCGACUGUAC
RNAcentral lists this ribosomal RNA (428 nucleotides) under uncultured bacterium. RNAcentral's name for it is "bacterial SSU rRNA". It matches the Rfam family "Bacterial small subunit ribosomal RNA", at positions 958 to 1399 of the family's 1533-position model. The record is from RNAcentral.